This is a long non-coding RNA of Mus musculus (house mouse), 1410 nucleotides long. RefSeq annotates it as predicted gene, 41677. The transcript has 3 exons. Lineage: Eukaryota; Metazoa; Chordata; Mammalia; Rodentia; Muridae. The record is from RefSeq and is a predicted model, not a curated record.
CAGAGAUCCUCCUGCCUCUGCCUCCCAAGACAUGCACUACCAUGCCUGUCUGGUAUUUUAUUACUAACAGUUGAGUAGAGAAAUUACUCAGUGUCUGAGGUUUCUCAGUAGGUUAGGAAGAAAGCACAGGCAGUGAAACUCCUCUGAAUGCUCUGAGUGGGCGUCACCUUGCUGGAGUCAGAAAACUCGGUUGGUCAGCUUUCUGUUGCUGUGACAGAAUCACCUGCAAAAGUCAGCACACUCACGAUCUGGUCACCCCUCAAGUGAGCCACCAUCUAGGGACCAAGCUUCCAGUUCGGCCUUUUGUGGAAUGGGGAUAUUAAUCGGUCAUAUUCUUGACAUGGGGAAAGUCUGGAAUCUGUCAGCACAAGUCCAGCUGUCUGUCUCUGAAGAACUUCCCAGGCAGCCGAGCAAGGAGGAUGACAGAAACAAGCUGGUACGUUUUGAGCAUCGCUCCCAGAGUCUGGCGUCGUCUCGGAAGGGGCUUUUUCUUUAGAAAGACCAGAAAUGCAUCUUUAUCUCUAGCUAGCAGUUUUCUUCCCCUUUGUUUUCAUGAGAGAUAAGAGUUACCGAGGCCUGGACUGGCUUGCUGCAAAUAGUCCUUGUAAUAUUCCACACUGCAAAACUCUAGCCACAGUCCCCAGCGGUCACCAUGCAAACACCAGGAUAAACUACAUCUUCGAAGCACUGAGCACAGGCAAGCUGUUGGAGUGUGGGGAACUGCUGUCACUGAACACAGCAUGGCGGUCCCCUCUCCAGGUGCCGGUGCUCUUAUACCUCCAACCUCCAGAACCAGGAGUGCAGUGAAUGUGUGUUUAUAACUUACUCAGCGUUCUGAUCGAGCAGCAGCAGCAGAUCAUCCUGAAUGCCAUUGUAUACUUUAAAGAAAAAACUCACAUACUUGGCGUGGCAUCUUUCUUCUAUGGCUUCACUUCGUAAGUCCACCUCAUCCAUGAGGACGUGGGCCUGCCCUCUCUGUCCCUGAGUCAGCUUUAGCCAUUCCUGAUGGCGCAGUGGCCCCUCCUAGGAGAAGAUCUGUUCUCUCACUGUGUGUCUCCUCACAGCAACCCUGAGGGUACUCUCCUCAUACCUCGGGAACUUGAAGUUCAAGGGUAACGGCACAGCUCCCAGGGGGCAGUGAGGAUUACGAGCCAGGCCGCCAUGUCUGUGCGCAGGACACCUCAGCCCAUUUCCUCUGAAGAAGACUGACCUGCAGCUCCCUGAAAAGGCCAGGGAGGAGACAGGGACUCAGCAUGGGCAAACGCAUCGAAAUCAUCCUGCAAGGUGCGAUCCCUCAUCAGAUUCUGUGAUGGCGCCCAGGAAUUCGGCCACAGGUGUCCACAUACUGCUGAAGGGGCACUUUUGAGAAUAAAUUAAUGUUUUGUUGGGGUUUGUUUUGUUUUUUCGAGA